AGAUCGGCUUACUGGUCGUGCUUUUGUACGUACUGGUAUUAUUGAUUCCUACCUUCUGACGAACCAUGAUGUCAUUAAUUUGGUGUCAUGGGGAAUCAGGACUGUUACUUUGAAAAAAUUAGAGUGUUUAAAGCAGGCUCACGCUUGAAUACAUUAGCAUGGAAUAACGAAAUAGGACGU
This 180-nucleotide ribosomal RNA is filed under the name uncultured Glomeromycotina. RNAcentral's name for it is "partial small subunit ribosomal RNA". The stretch from base 37 to 180 matches the Rfam family "Eukaryotic small subunit ribosomal RNA", at positions 684 to 830 of the family's 1831-position model. The record is from RNAcentral. Lineage: Eukaryota; Fungi; Glomeromycota.